RNAcentral lists this unclassified non-coding RNA (336 nucleotides) under soil metagenome. RNAcentral's name for it is "partial contains 5.8S ribosomal RNA, internal transcribed spacer 2, and large subunit ribosomal RNA". The stretch from base 1 to 120 matches the Rfam family "5.8S ribosomal RNA", at positions 35 to 154 of the family's 154-position model. The record is from RNAcentral.
GAUGAAGAACGUAGCGAAAUGCGAUAAGUAAUGUGAAUUGCAGAAUUCAGUGAAUCAUCGAAUCUUUGAACGCACAUUGCGCCCGCCAGUAUUCUGGCGGGCAUGCCUGUUCGAGCGUCAUUUCAACCAUCAAGCCCCCGGCUUGUGUUGGGGACCUGCGGCUGCCGCAGGCCCUGAAAACCAGUGGCGGGCUCGCUGUCACACCGAGCGUAGUAGAUUUUCAUCUCGCUCAGGGCGUGCCGCGGGUUCCGGCCGUAAAAAGCCUUAUUUACCCAAGGUUGACCUCGGAUCAGGUAGGAAGACCCGCUGAACUUAAGCAUAUCAAUAAGCGGAGGA